Molecule: non-coding RNA, 48 nt
Filed under: unclassified sequences
Description: chromate-resist RNA
Rfam family: chrB-b RNA
Source: RNAcentral
CGGGGAUACCGCAGCCUCCCCCUCAGAUGGAUUUCCAUCCAAGCGCGC